This 548-nucleotide ribosomal RNA is filed under the name uncultured bacterium. RNAcentral's name for it is "bacterial SSU rRNA". It matches the Rfam family "Bacterial small subunit ribosomal RNA", at positions 355 to 895 of the family's 1533-position model. The record is from RNAcentral.
UGGGGAAUUUUGGACAAUGGGCGCAAGCCUGAUCCAGCCAUGCCGCGUGUCUGAAGAAGGCCUUCGGGUUGUAAAGGACUUUUGUCAGGGAAGAAAAGGAUAGGGUUAAUACCCCUGUCUGAUGACGGUACCUGAAGAAUAAGCACCGGCUAACUACGUGCCAGCAGCCGCGGUAAUACGUAGGGUGCGAGCGUUAAUCGGAAUUACUGGGCGUAAAGCGGGCGCAGACGGUUACUUAAGCAGGAUGUGAAAUCCCCGGGCUCAACCUGGGAACUGCGUUCUGAGCUGGGUGACUAGAGUGUGUCAGAGGGAGGUAGAAUUCCACGUGUAGCAGUGAAAUGCGUAGAGAUGUGGAGGAAUACCGAUGGCGAAGGCAGCCUCCUGGGAUAACACUGACGUUCAUGCCCGAAAGCGUGGGUAGCAAACAGGAUUAGAUACCCUGGUAGUCCACGCCCUAAACGAUGUCGAUUAGCUGUUGGGCAGCUUGACUGCUUAGUAGCGAAGCUAACGCGUGAAAUCGACCGCCUGGGGAGUACGGUCGCAAGAUU